This is a ribosomal RNA of Pteropus vampyrus (large flying fox), 123 nucleotides long. The record is from Ensembl. Lineage: Eukaryota; Metazoa; Chordata; Mammalia; Chiroptera; Pteropodidae.
GUCUACGGCCACGCCCCCCUGAACAAGCCUGAUGUCUGAUCUUGGAAGCUAAGAAGCUAAGCAGGGUCGGGCCUGGUUAGUACUUGAAUGGAAGACCACCUAGGAAGACCAGUGCUGUAGGCA